This 464-nucleotide long non-coding RNA is filed under the name Setaria viridis. RNAcentral describes it as "long non-coding RNA (SVIR_LNC004496)". The record is from RNAcentral. Lineage: Eukaryota; Viridiplantae; Streptophyta; Magnoliopsida; Poales; Poaceae.
GAAGGAAGGAGCAGCACCCCGAUCAAGAGUUGGCCCCUUUUUAGUUCUUUUCUUUUCGGUUUUUCCUUUACAUAUCUCUCCUUUUUUAUUUUUCCUAAUAUUUCGUGACAAUUAAAAAAUUAAAUUCCCUUACAUUGUUCUAUUGGUACAUAUGCCAUGUGAAAGGUCAUAUUCAUAUACCAAUAUGUGCAAGACAAUCAUCACAAGUCACUAGUGUUCUAUGUAUAAUUGCAUGCGAUGUAUUGAGUUGAAUAUUUGAAGUGGCUAUAUGUGUCAGUGUUCCCAAUUUUAAUUAUCGGUUCCUUACCAUUAUCGACUUCUUCCCGAAUGAAUAAUUUCGUAUCCAACAUCCCACAUAACCAAGUUUUAUUUUCCCCCAUUCCUUUCCCGAUAAAAUAUGACGUGGCGUUCAUCAUUCAUAGGUUACCUCUCCAUCUAGAUAGUAAUUUGUUUUUGCGAGGGCA